AUAUAUGAGUACAUUUGGUUUAAAAAUAAGUUUGACUUAUUGUUAUGUACAUAGAUGGUGAUAUUUAAGAUCUCUAAGCGUCACCAUUUUAAUAGUUUGAUUUGUAUAUGUGGUAUCAUGUAUGGGGGUUUGAGAACUUUGAAUAAAGCAAAUAUACUUUCUCUUUGGGAACCUAGAUUUGCCAGUGCAAAAGGAGUUUAAAGAGAGCAAGUGUGCCAGAGAGUAAAACCAGGGGCACAUCUGCCUGAAUUUCUUCACUAUAAGUCAUCAGAAGAGGGCUUUUGCAAAUGAUUUUGCAUGACACCCUCCUUCAGAUCAGUGAUUCUCUGUAAAAUGAGCAAUUUUUUAAUAACAACUUUCACACAAGUCUUCCAAAGUUAUAUGAUCCACAUUGCCCCCCUGCCUUCUGUGCUUCCCCCCUCCCAGAGCUGACAAGCAAUUCAGUCUGGGUUAUACAUGUAUUAUCACAUAAAACAUAUUUCCACAAUAUUCAUUUUUGUAAGUGAAUAAUCUAAAACCUGAACCUCAAAUCACACACCCAAAUAAACAAGUGAUAAAUCAUAUGUUUUCAUCUGCAUUUCUGCUCCCACAGUUCUUUCUCUGGAGGUGGAGAGCAUUCUUCCUCCCAAGUCCUCAGAAUUGUCUGAAUCACUGCAUUGCUGUUAGUAGCAAAGUCUGUCACAUUUGAUCAGUCCACAAUAUUGCAGUUGCUGUGAAUAAUGAUCUUGCGGUUCUGCUUACUUCACUCCACAUCAAUUCAUAAUUUAUUUCUAGUCAUCACAGCCCCUUUCUCCCGUCUCCAUACCAUAGAAGGCAUCAUCUGGCAAACAAACAAACAUGGAUAUGUAGAUGAUAUCUUUCAUGCUUCCACUUCUCAGUUCAUUCUCUGGAGGUAAACAUUCCCAAGUCACUGUACAAAUAUUAAAUCUGUAUCUGUAUAGAAUGAUCUCUUAGUUCUACUCCUUUCCCUCUUUGUUAUCUUGGAGACUUCUUUUCAAAUCAAAAAGGAUUUUAAAAGUAAAAUAAUAGAAGUAGAAGAAAAAUUUGAAAAAGGAAUGAGAUAGAGAAAAACCAUGGGAAAAGAGUUAACAGUUUGAUAAAAGAGGCACAAAAAUAAUGAAGAAAUUAAUAUCUUAAAAAACAGAAUAGGUCAGUUGUUUAAAAAAAAAAGGCAGAAAAAUACAAUGAAGACAAGUCCUUAAAAAAACAAAAACAACCAGAAUUGGCCAAAGGAAAAAUGAGGUACAAAAAUUCACUAAAGAAAAGAACUCAUUACAAAGUAGAAUUGAUCAAAUGGAAAAGGAGAUACAAAAGGCAAUAAAGUCUUAAAAAUCAGAAUUUAGCA
This 1345-nucleotide long non-coding RNA is filed under the name Monodelphis domestica (gray short-tailed opossum). RNAcentral's name for it is "lncRNA (ENSMODG00000045426.1)". Lineage: Eukaryota; Metazoa; Chordata; Mammalia; Didelphimorphia; Didelphidae. The record is from RNAcentral.